This 425-nucleotide long non-coding RNA is filed under the name Arabidopsis thaliana (thale cress). RNAcentral describes it as "long non-coding RNA (ATHA_LNC000265)". The record is from RNAcentral. Lineage: Eukaryota; Viridiplantae; Streptophyta; Magnoliopsida; Brassicales; Brassicaceae.
CACACAAACACACAUAGCCAUGGCCUCUUCUUUCUCUUCACAAGCCUUCUUCUUGCUCACAUUGUCUAUGGUUUUAAUUCCUUUCUCUUUAGCUCAAGCUCCCAUGAUGGCUCCUUCUGGCUCAAUGUCCAUGCCGCCUAUGUCUAGCGGCGGUGGAAGCUCGGUUCCUCCUCCAGUGAUGUCUCCGAUGCCAAUGAUGACUCCACCACCUAUGCCUAUGACUCCACCACCCAUGCCCAUGACUCCACCACCUAUGCCUAUGGCUCCACCACCAAUGCCCAUGGCUUCACCACCAAUGAUGCCAAUGACUCCAUCUACAAGCCCAAGCCCAUUAACAGUUCCGGAUAUGCCUUCGCCGCCGAUGCCAUCCGGAAUGGAAUCUUCACCUUCUCCAGGACCCAUGCCACCGGCAAUGGCGGCUUCGC